CAGUGUGGACAGUGGCUCUGGGAAACUCUUAUUGGUCAGACGAGGGACCACUUCCACAAGAAAGUGUGCUUAUGCAGGUGCAGAACAGCCACUUUGGGUACCUUUGAGGCCUGGAAAGGUCCUUGGAGCCAAUGAAGAGCCUGUCUCCAGGUAUAAAGAGGCUGAGACAGAUUCCCAAAAACAGUGACUCUGAGCACCUGAGGGCAAGAUGGAGCCCAAAGUGGGAGAGUGGGAGCACAAACAUGGAGUAGCCAAAAGGCACACAACAAAAGAAGGCAGCUUUACUGCUGUCUGUCUGGUACUGAAUACUGCAGCAAACGGCCACUGGACCAGGAGUGAAGAUUCAUCCUGAACAUCUGAGAAAUAAGAAAGUGUAGAGAACAGAGAAAGCCCUGAGGGAGAUUAAAUAGUGGAUGUGUGUGACCUGACCUGAGCUGGCCAUGGGAAAGACCCCAGAGCCUCAGGCCCAUGGAGGAAUGGCAAAGCCUCCCCUGGGGUGAGGUUCUGAGACUUGGCAACGCCUUCCUCUGGGGAUUGAGUGUGAGUGUUGGCAGUGUAUGCAGAAGUUGUCCACCAUAGCUUCUCCCCUCUGGAGACUGCUCCUCUAUAAAGACUGCUCCUACUCAGAUUGACUAAGCCUAUCCCUUUGAUCUACCUGUGUAACCUAAUAUUUUCUACUUGUCAGUAAAUUCAUUCUACUCCUUUUUAAUUGGAAAACUUGUUAGUAUUUUUUUCUUAUCACAAAUACAUGAAUGAAUCUGAAACACAUUCUAUUAUGAUUUUGUUGACCUAAGCAUCCAUAGGGCAUGUCUGUAAAAAACAAAAUAUUGUCAGGCUUACCUGGGGCAAGCAAUUCAGGAGGAAAUGGUAAGUGCUGUACUGAGUACAAAAACCUUCUUUUUAUGUGGCAAAAAUGUUCUGAAAUUGUGAUUUCAGAAUUUGGUUGGCUCUGGACAUAGUAAAAAUGUUUAAAUUUUA
This is a non-coding RNA of Rattus norvegicus (Norway rat), 978 nucleotides long. The record is from RefSeq and is a predicted model, not a curated record. Lineage: Eukaryota; Metazoa; Chordata; Mammalia; Rodentia; Muridae.